RNAcentral lists this ribosomal RNA (372 nucleotides) under uncultured organism. Its description in RNAcentral is "partial 16S ribosomal RNA". It matches the Rfam family "Bacterial small subunit ribosomal RNA", at positions 527 to 896 of the family's 1533-position model. The record is from RNAcentral.
GUAGGUGGCAAGCGUUGUCCGGAAUUAUUGGGCGUAAAGCGCGCGCAGGGCGGUUCUUUAAGUCUGAUGUGAAAGCCCACGGCUCAACCGUGGAGGGUCAUUGGAAACUGGAGAACUUGAGUACAGAAGAGGAAAGCGGAAUUCCACGUGUAGCGGUGAAAUGCGUAGAGAUGUGGAGGAACACCAGUGGCGAAGGCGGCUUUCUGGUCUGUAACUGACGCUGAGGCGCGAAAGCGUGGGGAGCAAACAGGAUUAGAUACCCUGGUAGUCCACGCCGUAAACGAUGAGUGCUAAGUGUUAGGGGGUUUCCGCCCCUUAGUGCCGCAGCUAACGCAUUAAGCACUCCGCCUGGGGAGUACGGCCGCAAGGCUG